GAUGAACGCUGGCGGCGUGCCUAAUACAUGCAAGUCGAGCGAACAGACGAGGAGCUUGCUCCUCUGACGUUAACGGCGGACGGGUGAGUAACACGUGGAUAACCUACCUAUAAGACUGGGAUAACUUCGGGAAACCGGAGCUAAUACCGGAUAAUAUAUUGAACCGCAUGGUUCAAUAGUGAAAGACGGUUUUGCUGUCACUGAUACAUGGAUCCGCGCCGCAGUAGCUAGUUGGUAAGGUAACGGCUUACCAAGGCGACGAUGGGUAGCCGACCUGAGAGGGUGAUCGGCCACACUGGAACUGAGACACGGCCCAGACUCCUACGGGAGGCAGCAGUAGGGAAUCUUCCGAGAUGGGCGAAAGCCUGACGGAGCAACGCCGCGUGAGUGAUGAAGGUCUUCGGAUCGUAAGACGCUGUUAUUAGGGAAGAACAAAUGUGUAAGUAACUAUGCACGUCUUGACGGUACCUAAUCAGAAAGCCACGGCUAACUACGUG
This 497-nucleotide ribosomal RNA is filed under the name uncultured bacterium. RNAcentral's name for it is "partial 16S ribosomal RNA". It matches the Rfam family "Bacterial small subunit ribosomal RNA", at positions 28 to 507 of the family's 1533-position model. The record is from RNAcentral.